Molecule: long non-coding RNA, 637 nt
Organism: Mauremys reevesii (Reeves's turtle)
Lineage: Eukaryota; Metazoa; Chordata; Testudines; Geoemydidae
Exons: 3
Source: RefSeq, a predicted model, not a curated record
GGGUGGGAGGCAGGGCACAGAGCCAGGCGCUCCCUGCCCUGGGGAGGAGCAGCAGCCGCCUCGCAGCUGCCUGGCCUUGGGUGCAAAUUGCGGAGCGGGGAACGCAAUCAGCAGAGGAACAAAGCUGAGGCGGCAGCCGCAGGCCGGGGAGCGCGAAGCCCUUGAGGGCAGGCGGGUGCCUGAAACCCCCUUUGCUCAGACAUGAAUACGAGAAGAAGCGACAGGCUCCCCGUUUAGCUAUGACAAACCUGGAGCUGGGUUAAAUGCAGCUUUCGUGCAACUCCACAAAAGCCCAAAUUCAUGCCUGAUGACCGAAAACCUUCGUUGGAGAGAGCCUCGUGGUGUCUAAGCUGUAUUGCAAGGGGAGAGGAUGGGGGAACAGACCAGAAGGAACAGGCUGCCAACAAGAGACUUUUGGGAAAGCUGUCAGACUGAAGUAACAAAGGAAGAUGAAAUUGUGAGGAGAGAAGAGACUGUAUAUUGUGUUUGAGGAUUCAUCAGUUUCACUUUUAGCUCAUAACUUUAAGGAAAAAAAUAUUUUCAAGCUAACUGAGGACUGCAAUGUUGUUGUAGGUUUUUUUUUAUUUUUCACUUUAUUUGCACUAGAAUUGUGUCAGAACCUCAAAUCUCCCUUGAA